Non-coding RNA from Paramuricea clavata, 1331 nucleotides. Lineage: Eukaryota; Metazoa; Cnidaria; Anthozoa; Malacalcyonacea; Plexauridae. The record is from the annotation of a GenBank genome assembly.
UCAGGAACGGUUUUUAAAGGCCCUUCGUCUGGCGUUACUGUAACUCCAGACGAAGGGCCUUCGCUCGAAACGUCGAAAUUCUCCUUAUAUUUUUCAGGUAGUGCAUCCCUUCCAAGGAAAGCUAUUAUUGGCACUAUAUACCCACACUGGCACAGACAGUUCAAUGAUCACAUGUACCUUCUUAAAAACAUUCAUCAUUCAUGAAGUAAUUCGUCUGCAUAUUGGUCAUGUUUUUUCUCUGACACUGAUUUGUAUUAUACUAUAUACAUAGUAUAAAUAAAGUUUACACUGUUUUUACAACUCUAACAAGUUAACCAUAAUGUGCUCUGUUGGUCAUGAUAAACAAUUAAUGGAAUCGUGCAAUAUUUAAGCCAAUUGAAUAUUAGAGCAAGAUAUGUAUAAUUAUAUAUAAAUAAUUAAGAAUCUACUAAGAAUUUAUGUAUAUAACUUGUCUAAAUUUAUUUUUACAAUUAAUAUACUAUGAAUAUUUCUCAAUUCUAUAGGACAGGGUUAUGUUCCAAAUAUCAAUUCAUUUACUGCUGAAAGUGGCUAAAUUGUAAAUCGAACUUGAGAGUCAGCAAACUUGCCCAGGACAGGGACUAGCUAAAUUCACGCCCAGGGCAGGGACUAAAGUUAGUACGAGGUAGUCUGUUUUAUGGGAAUUGUUACAGUUAAAUUCUUGCAUGUAAGUAUGAGUAUUCCCCGGUAUUAAAGUGAACUUUAAAACCAAAACUAGAUAAACGGAACGCCGUAAAUGUUUUUGUUAUAUAGUUAGUGUCAAAAUUCAAUUUUUCUGUUUGCUGAUUGGUCAAAACCGUGUCACGUGCCAGUCCACAAAACGUCAUGUUCGGCAACCGGUCCGCAAUGAAACAUUGACUGGUCAAUAAUAAAAUGGGUGCAAUACGCAUGCGUGUCAACCAUGAAGUUCCAAAGUUCAUUUUUUAAACUUUUUACUAAACAUUUACGGCGUUCCAUUUAUCCAGUUUUGGUUUCAAAUUAAGUUCACUCCAAUAACCGGUGAAUUAUUCAUACUUUGACACUUAUGUACUAUAUAACAAAACACUUAUUUACUGAGACCUCGGGAAAGCAGUGUGUUUUGUGGCCCCGGCGGUCUCGGCUCCACAAAACACACUGUUUCCCUGCCCCCAUUUUCCCUGCUCCCAGUCUGCCCCCAUUCUAUUGUUGACCGGUCAAUAAAUGUUCUAUUAUGGACUGGUUGCCUCGUUGCCAGGGCAAUGCAAUAAACACGACGUUUUGCGGACCGGCACGUGAUACGCUUUUGUCCAAUCGGAAAACAGAAAAAUGAACUUUGACACUAAUUAUAUAACAAU